GCUGGGGCCGGAGCCGCGGCGGGGGUGGGGGUUGUUCGGCUCCGUCGUAAUCCGCGCGCGGGCGACUAGCCUUCUGCCCUUCGGAGGCUGGCUGAGAGCAAGAAUGGCCGAGGAGUCAGAAAAAGAAGAGGAGAUAUUGCUAUUUCAGGCUGUCCCUUUCCCCAAAUCACCAGAGUUUUACUGAAUUGUUGAAGAUCUCACUAAAUUGCUGAGGCUGGCCUCGAACUUCUGAUCCUUCUGCUUCAGCCUCCCAAGUCACUGGGAUCUCAGGUGGGCAUCACUGCAACUGGUCAAGAUGUCAUUUUUAAGGAGCUUGGCUGUGAAGGGCAUAAAGAGGGAAGUGCCUCAGAAGGACUGAUUACCCAGAGAAAAGGUUUAGAGAUAUGUAUGUAAUUUAGGAGCAAUACAAAGGGAGAGGCUGGAGAAUCAACCAGAGCAGAAAUAUAGGAUGCAGAGAGAACUCUGAGGAGGUAGAAUGAAGUGGGACCAAGAUAUUGAACAAAAGAAUCCACCCUGAGCCAGAAAAGAAAUGUCUUCUACUGAGGAGGAAGCAAUAUGGAAGAUAUAUACCGAAAAAUAUUAAAGUAAAAAGCAGAAAAUUGGGAACGUUUGAAACUGAAAUCUAUACCUUCUUCUGUGUCUUUGGAGCCACUGGCCCAAAUGGGUAUAUCCUCUACUCUAAACAGAGAAAGUAGGGAGUAAGAACCUAAAGAGAAGGUGACAUCAAAUAGAACAUUUGCCUUGAUUAAUAACUGAAAGCCCAACAUUGGGGAUUUAUUAUUUAAUUUUAUUGGCUUUAAGAAUAUAGGUGACUUAUUGGUUCAUUCAACUGAAAAGGUGGUGGGUGGGUGGUCAGUUGCACCAUAACUCUCUUGCUAAGAGCUGUUUUGGGUUCCCCUUCAGGGUGGCAGUAACAUUGCUGAGGAGUUCCAGGUCUCAGAAUCAUGUAUGAAAACUUCCAGGGCUAAGAAGCUAUUUCUUUCAGGUGUGCUCUUCCCAGAGUACCUAAGUUUUGUGCACAGAACUCCCCAGCAAACCUUCUUGUACACCUCAUUGGCCCAACUACUUUUCCUGGACGGUUUCUUGUGGCAAGGAAGUUCCCUUUGGUGGUUGGAUUACCAAGUGCUGGGUAAAUUCCUGAACCCAUCACUAACACAGCUGUGGACCAGCUGUUCUCAAGCAGAACUCUAGCAUGCAGGUGUGCAGUAGGCAUUUUGGAUUAUUAGAAUGAUUGCAAGUGGAGGCCAUGGUUGCUAAACUUCCUAAGAUGCAGGUGAUGGCCCUGAAGAGCAAAGAACUGGGCAGCCCCAUAUGCCAAUUGCACCUGAUGCUAGGAAAUACUGCUGUAGAAGAGAGACCUACUCUUGAAUUAGCUCACUGGUUCAUGGAAGGAUACCAAUGUCUGGACAAAAGUAUAGAAAGAAGGGGAAGCUGGUGCAGGGAAGGCAGCCAAUCCCAGCUACUAUAGAGAUCAUAGGCUUUGAAGCAGAGAGCCUGGGAUUUAAAUCUUGGCUCUGCUACUUUCAAGCUGUAUGAUCUUGGGCAGGUUAAUGAAGCUUUGAAAGCCUUACUUUCUUUAGUAAGUUUAAAAAAAGGAAUAAUAAUACCCACUCAUGAGAUUACUGAGAGAUUAAUGGAUAAAAAAAGAGUUUGAAAUGUUCUGGCUCAUAGAAGGGGCUCAAUGUCUGUUGAUUUCCUUUCUUCCUGUUCUUAUGUGUAUUAGUUUAUGGUGUAGCCACUUGAUAAAACCUGAAAGGAUCAGUACCUUGGCAUUUCCAACAAAUGUUUUUUUGAGGUGCUAAUAUCAUCUAAUGAGGGCAUGAGCCAUCAUUUAAACCAUUAGAUUAGGAACAUUACAGAUGGUCCCAGCACAAUGUGUUCAUGUCACAGAUGGCUCAUAAUAGCAAGUCUGUAUUAAUAAACAAGAAUAGACAUAACAGUUUGAGCUCUGGGCUUUCAUUUCUUUCUUAAAUAUACUAUUACUGUAUGAAAUAAAUAAAAUGUUUACGCAUACA
Ictidomys tridecemlineatus (thirteen-lined ground squirrel) is the source of this 2015-nucleotide non-coding RNA. The record is from RefSeq and is a predicted model, not a curated record. Lineage: Eukaryota; Metazoa; Chordata; Mammalia; Rodentia; Sciuridae.